Non-coding RNA from Apodemus sylvaticus (European woodmouse), 536 nucleotides. Lineage: Eukaryota; Metazoa; Chordata; Mammalia; Rodentia; Muridae. The record is from the annotation of a RefSeq genome assembly.
UAAGGGGAUAAGAGGCUUGUGAUCUCAAGAUCAGUGAGAUCUAAAGGACAGCAGCAAUUAUCUCCACCAUGGCCUGGGUUCUUAUCAUCCUCACUCUCUUCAAAGGGUCUCUUUCUCAGCCGGAGUUAACUCAGCCACCAUCAGCAUCUACUUCUCUUGGAAAAUCAGUGUCACUUACCUGCUCACUAAGCAGUGGGUACAUGAAAUAUAAUAUGGACUGGUACCUGCAGAGUCCGAAGAAAACUGUCCAAUUUUUGUUGAGAGUGGGCCCUACUGGUAAUGUAGUAUCCAAGGGAAGUAGGAUUCCUGAUAGAUUCUCAAGCUCUGGCUCUGGAUUGGUUAGGUAUCUGGGAAUCUCAAAUAUUCAGGCUGAGGAUGAGAAUGUCUAUUAUUGUGGAUCUGAUCAUGGCAGUGGAAGUAACUAUAUGUAACCCACAGUUACACACACAGUAAGGAAGUGAGACAAAAUCUUCGUUAAUCUGCCCAGUGCUCACUGAUUUCCCCGUUGUCUUGAAUAAAAGUAUUCAGCACUUUCU